CGCUGGCGGCGUGUUUAAGACAUGCAAGUCGCACGGUAUCAUUUGUGUAGUAAUACUCGAAUGGUUCAGUGGCGCACGGGUGAGUAACACGUGAAUUACAUGCCCUUUAGAGGGGGAUAGCCCAGGGAAACUUGGAUUAAUACCCCAUGGUCUCGCAAGAGUAAAGGUGGCCAGCAAUGGCUGUCGCUAAAGGAUUGGUUCGCGUCCUAUCAGCUUGUUGGCGGGGUAACGGCCCACCAAGGCUACGACGGGUACCUGGUCUGAGAGGACGAUCAGGCACACUGGAACUGAGACACGGUCCAGACACCUACGGGUGGCAGCAGUCGAGAAUAAUUCACAAUGGGGGCAACCCUGAUGGUGCAACGCCGCGUGGAGGAUGACGGUCUUCGGAUUGUAAACUCCUGUCAUCUGGGAGUAAGACCUGGUCGUUAAUAGCGGACAGGGUUGAUAGUACCAGAAGAGGAAGGGACGGCUAACUUCGUGCCAGCAGCCGCGGUAAUACGAAGGUCCCGAGCGUUGUUCGGAAUCACUGGGCGUAAAGGGAGCGUAGGCGGUGCGGUAAGUCAGAUGUGAAAUCCCGGGGCUCAACCCCGGAACUGCAUCCGAUACUGCCGUGCUAGAGGAUUGGAGAGGUAGCUGGAAUUCUUGGUGUAGCAGUGAAAUGCGUGGAUAUCAAGAGGAACACUCGUGGCGAAAGCGAGCUACUGGACAACUCCUGACGCUGAGGCUCGA
This 732-nucleotide ribosomal RNA is filed under the name uncultured bacterium. RNAcentral's name for it is "bacterial SSU rRNA". It matches the Rfam family "Bacterial small subunit ribosomal RNA", at positions 34 to 756 of the family's 1533-position model. The record is from RNAcentral.